Molecule: transfer RNA, 73 nt
Filed under: Stegodyphus mimosarum
Lineage: Eukaryota; Metazoa; Arthropoda; Arachnida; Araneae; Eresidae
Rfam family: tRNA
About the family: Transfer RNA (tRNA) molecules are approximately 80 nucleotides in length. Their secondary structure includes four short double-helical elements and three loops (D, anti-codon, and T loops). Further hydrogen bonds mediate the characteristic L-shaped molecular structure. tRNAs have two regions of fundamental functional importance: the anti-codon, which is responsible for specific mRNA codon recognition, and the 3' end, to which the tRNAs corresponding amino acid is attached (by aminoacyl-tRNA synthetases). tRNAs cope with the degeneracy of the genetic code in two manners: having more than one tRNA (with a specific anti-codon) for a particular amino acid; and 'wobble' base-pairing, i.e. permitting non-standard base-pairing at the 3rd anti-codon position.
Source: Rfam by way of RNAcentral
ACCUUUGUGGUGUAGUGGUCAGCACGUUCGGCGCGUAUUCGAGAGGUCCGUGGUUCGAGUCCCGGCCAGGGCA